Cyprinus carpio carpio is the source of this 385-nucleotide long non-coding RNA. The record is from Ensembl. Lineage: Eukaryota; Metazoa; Chordata; Actinopteri; Cypriniformes; Cyprinidae.
UAUCAAUCCGCUUCAGCUGUGUGUCUGCAUCAGGAAUACUCUCACACCUGCCACACCAUCGAACAGCUGUUGCACUGUUCUGUGAAAUACCUCUGGUGCCGAAAAGAUACCAAAAGGCUUGAUUGCAUGUCCAGGGGAUUCCAGUGGUUUUAACUGAAGCCUAACAAAAAUCAAGCAAGGUGACUGCACUAUUGCUCUGUUUCAUUUUGUUAUAGUUUUAACAGUUUUGUCUGGAACUCAGCUUGGUCAAUUUUGUUAUUUUUAUGUGUUUUAUUUGAGUUCGAAGCACUGGCACAGGAUUGGGAUGUUAUGUGCUUCUCUAAAGUGGGAGGGGUUGGCCAUGGUACCUUGUACUGGUGUGUUCACUUGGAGUGCUGUGCUUAAC